This is a long non-coding RNA of Oncorhynchus tshawytscha (Chinook salmon), 528 nucleotides long. The record is from Ensembl. NCBI's taxonomy places the organism in Eukaryota, Metazoa, Chordata, Actinopteri, Salmoniformes, Salmonidae.
GAAGGGCAGGUGGGUGGAGGAAGGGCAGGAGGGUGGAGGAAGGGCAGGUGGGUGGAGGAAGGGCAGGUGGGUGGAGGAAGGGCAGGAGGGUGGAGGAAGGGCAGGUGGGUGGAGGAAGGGCAGGAGGGUGGAGGAAGGGCAGGAGGGUGGAGGAAGGGCAGGUGGGUGGAGGAAGGGCAGGUGGGUGGAGGAAGGGCAGGAGGGUGGAGGAAGGGCAGGAGGGUGGAGGAAGGGCAGGAGGGUGGAGGAAGGGCAGGAGGGUGGAGGAAGGGCAGGAGGGUGGAGGAAGGGCAGGUGGGUGGAGGAAGGGCAGGAGGGUGGAGGAAGGGCAGGAGGGUGGAGGAAGGGCAGGUGGGUGGAGGAAGGGCAGGUGGGUGGAGGAAGGGCAGGAGGGUGGAGGAAGGGCAGGAGGGUGGAGGAAGGGCAGGAGGGUGGAGGAAGGGCAGGAGGGUGGAGGAUCUUGUGUCUUUAGGCCACUUUGACUGUUUUUCUUUCUUGUUAUUUGCCGUUAGUGGGGAAGUCUACGGG